GAGCCCUCGCCCUCGAGGCAGCCACCGGCUAGGCCACGCGGCCAUUCCGCAGCGACUCUUGCCCUGCCAACGAUGCGCCUGCAUGGCGGCGGCCUCCCCGACUCCACCGGCGCCCUCUCUCCAGGGCCGGGCCCACCGAGGAGUCCCAGCCAGGCCUUCGAGGACGCCUCGAAAGUGGCGGCGAGCGUGGCAUGACGGGAAGAAUGGCAUCCACCUGAAGGCCAAGGCUGGGCCUUCGGGGCUUCUGCGGCCUAAGGCGGCGGGUCUGAGCAAGAACACUCUGCCAUCGCCGGCUCGGGACGGGAGGCCCACCCGUGGCCGAGCACGCAGACCUGGAUGAACCGAGGCCUCGAUGGGCCUGGACGAAGGUGAGCGGGGCCCCGAAUCACGGCGAGAGGAACGAUCGAUUCUUGGGCCGCGGGUCUUCCCUCCACCCGAGAGAAGCCGAGACGCGACAACCGCAGGCGGCCAUUCGGAAACGCUGUCGCCGUAGAAGUCCUGUGUAUAUAAUAUGAAAAAGCUGCUCUCAACCUUUCCCCCGACCCUUUUUAGACUUCUGGCUAAAUCUGGACGUCUAACUGUAGAGAUUGCCGACACAGGGUAAAGGAGAGGUAGGAGAUGACGUGAAUACCCAGUCGCCAUAAAAAGAAGAUCGUGGACACGUCUUCUGCAAGUGAUUUUGAAAUGGAAUUGUUUAGGCCGCCUCUAGAAAGACCCAGCACUCGUCCCUGUUUGUUCAGUACCUUAGAGGAUCCAGCAGGAGGAGGAAGAGGCCCGGAGCCAGAUUGGUCGUGUGAAGAAGACGUGUCUCUCUUUUUUAUCCUAUUGUAUUGUGUAUGCAUUUUAGUCCUCAUUUCUUACCCCCCACACCAUGUUUGCGUGUGUGCCUGUGUGUGUGUAUUUGAGUGUGUUUGAAAAUGCCAGGUUUUGGGGGUAAUGUCUUUCUAGCUGCUCUGAAGUGCCUGCCAUAUUUUAUAAGUAGUAAAACAUGCUGU
Molecule: long non-coding RNA, 995 nt
Filed under: Mus musculus (house mouse)
Lineage: Eukaryota; Metazoa; Chordata; Mammalia; Rodentia; Muridae
Description: predicted gene 7292 (ENSMUSG00000104222.3)
Source: RNAcentral